RNAcentral lists this non-coding RNA (30 nucleotides) under Mus musculus (house mouse). Lineage: Eukaryota; Metazoa; Chordata; Mammalia; Rodentia; Muridae. The record is from RNAcentral.
UAAAACAUUCAUAGAAAAGGCAUUAGGACC